UACGUAGGGUGCGAGCGUUGCCCGGAUUUAUUGGGCGUAAAGGGCGCGUAGGCGGCCACGCACGUCCGUUGUGAAAUCGCCCGGCUCAACUGGGCGGGGUCGGCGGAUACGGCGUGGCUGGAGCAAGCUAGGGGGCAAUGGAAUUCCCGGUGUAGUGGUGGAAUGCGUAGAUAUCGGGAGGAACACCAGUGGCGAAGGCGGUUGCCUGGAGCUUUGCUGACGCUGAGGCGCGAAAGCGUGGGGAGCGAUCCGG
Molecule: ribosomal RNA, 253 nt
Filed under: uncultured bacterium
Lineage: Bacteria
Description: partial 16S ribosomal RNA
Rfam family: Bacterial small subunit ribosomal RNA
Source: RNAcentral